AUGCUGAACAGCAGAGCAGCAGAUCCCAGUGGGAGCAGGGCCCUGGGGAGCUGGGCUGGGCCAAGGCACUCCCAGUGCAGGGCUUUGUUCCUAACCUCAGGGGCAGCCCAUGCUCUGGGGACGCAGGGAGGCUACGGCCAAGCCCAGAGUUUGGCUCUGUCCUGCCUGGUUCUGUCCUGCAUGGCUGCGGCCCGCACUGCUUCCCUGGGUGCUGUGGGUGCUGAAGCUCUGCCCUGCGCUGCUGGGAGGGGUGGGAUGGGGCUGGAGGCGAUUAGCCUCAGCCUCAGACAAACAGAUGGAGGCAGCGUUAUCCUAUUAGCGGGGCUAAGCGGGGCAUCUGAGCGGUGCAGGGUCCUGUCAGCGGGCUCCCGGGCUCCUCCUGCAGCACGAUGCCUUUCUGGGGCGGCGUCCCCCCCAGCAGCAGCUCCGGGUAGCGGCUGCACUGGGGCAGCACCGAGUCCCUGGGAACAGGUCAGGUACAGACCUCCCAGCCCUGCACCCUGCCCCCUGCAACCUGCCCCCUGCAACCUGCCCCCUGCCCCCUGUACCCUGCAUCGUGCACCCUGCCACCGGGGCCUGGAGCAUCACUGGGGGUGGGGAGGGUGCAGAACACCCAUGAGUGAGGGGAGUGUUGGUGAGGCUGAGCCAGGGGACGGUGAUGGGACCCCUCCUUUGGUGGUGGCGGCGGCGGUCGGUCCUGCGGCAGUGGGGUGGACCAGGUGCUGUGGGGAUUGCGUCACUCGCGGAGGUUUUGGGUUCGUUGCUUCUCACCGCCUUGUGCUGCUCCUGAGCUGGAGCUGGGAGGGUGCAGAAAGGGAUUUGGGGGUCUUGGCCGACCCUUGGCUGAACAUGAGGCAGCAGCGUGCUCAGGUGGCCGAGAAGGCCAGCGGCGUCCUGGCUUGGAGCAGCAGCAGUGCGGGCAGCAGGAGCAGGAGGUGCCCGUCCCUCUGCACGGCGCUGCUGGGGCUGCAGCUCAGACUGAGACAGAAGAGGGCUGUGGUGCAGCAUCACUACAGGGGCUCAGGGGGACCUCGUGGCUCCUACAGCUCCUGA
Molecule: long non-coding RNA, 1053 nt
Filed under: Numida meleagris (helmeted guineafowl)
Lineage: Eukaryota; Metazoa; Chordata; Aves; Galliformes; Numididae
Description: lncRNA (ENSNMEG00000000051.1)
Source: RNAcentral